Molecule: transfer RNA, 65 nt
Filed under: Argiope perforata
Lineage: Eukaryota; Metazoa; Arthropoda; Arachnida; Araneae; Araneidae
Description: tRNA-Met
Source: RNAcentral
AAUUAAGUCAGCUAAUUAAGCUAAUGGGUUCAUACCUCAUAAAUAGAAAUAUUUUUGCUCAGAGU